CAGUUGGAAACGGCUGCUAAUACCGCAUAAGCGCACGGUAUCGCAUGAUGCAGUGUGAAAAACUCCGGUGGUAUAAGAUGGACCCGCGUUGGAUUAGCUAGUUGGUGAGGUAACGGCCCACCAAGGCGACGAUCCAUAGCCGACCUGAGAGGGUGACCGGCCACAUUGGGGCUGAGACACGGCCCAAACUCCUACGGGAGGCAGCAGUGGGGAAUAUUGCACAAUGGGCGAAAGCCUGAUGCAGCAACGCCGCGUGAGCGAAGAAGUAUUUCGGUAUGUAAAGCUCUAUCAGCAGGGAAGAUAAUGACGGUACCUGACUAAGAAGCACCGGCUAAAUACGUGCCAGCAGCCGCGGUAAUACGUAUGGUGCAAGCGUUAUCCGGAUUUACUGGGUGUAAAGGGAGCGCAGGCGGUGCGGCAAGUCUGAUGUGAAAGCCCGGGGCUCAACCCCGGUACUGCAUUGGAAACUGUCGUACUAGAGUG
Molecule: ribosomal RNA, 483 nt
Filed under: uncultured bacterium
Lineage: Bacteria
Description: bacterial SSU rRNA
Rfam family: Bacterial small subunit ribosomal RNA
Source: RNAcentral